GAUUAAAUGGCUGAUAAAAGUAAUAGAUUGUAAAUCUAUAAAUGAAAUAAAAUAAAUUUCUUUAAUCA
RNAcentral lists this transfer RNA (68 nucleotides) under Pterygota sp. 3 LC-2017. Its description in RNAcentral is "tRNA-Tyr". It matches the Rfam family "tRNA". Rfam says of the family: Transfer RNA (tRNA) molecules are approximately 80 nucleotides in length. Their secondary structure includes four short double-helical elements and three loops (D, anti-codon, and T loops). Further hydrogen bonds mediate the characteristic L-shaped molecular structure. tRNAs have two regions of fundamental functional importance: the anti-codon, which is responsible for specific mRNA codon recognition, and the 3' end, to which the tRNAs corresponding amino acid is attached (by aminoacyl-tRNA synthetases). tRNAs cope with the degeneracy of the genetic code in two manners: having more than one tRNA (with a specific anti-codon) for a particular amino acid; and 'wobble' base-pairing, i.e. permitting non-standard base-pairing at the 3rd anti-codon position. Lineage: Eukaryota; Metazoa; Arthropoda; Insecta. The record is from RNAcentral.